Molecule: non-coding RNA, 29 nt
Filed under: Homo sapiens (human)
Lineage: Eukaryota; Metazoa; Chordata; Mammalia; Primates; Hominidae
Source: RNAcentral
GGGGCGUAUCACCAUCUGAGUCUGGCUGC